AUUGAACGCUGGCGGCAUGCCUUACACAUGCAAGUCGAACGGCAGCACGGGAGCAAUCCUGGUGGCGAGUGGCGAACGGGUGAGUAAUACAUCGGAACGUGCCCAGUAGUGGGGGAGUAGCCCGGCGAAAGCCGGAUUAAUACCGCAUACGACCUAUGGGUGAAAGCGGGGGAGUCGCAAGACCUCGCGCUAUUGGAGCGGCCGAUGGCAGAUUAGCUUGUUGGUGGGGUAAAAGGCCUACCAAGGCGACGAUCUGUAGCUGGUCUGAGAGGACGACCAGCCACACUGGGACUGAGACACGGCCCAGACUCCUACGGGAGGCAGCAGUGGGGAAUUUUGGACAAUGGGCGCAAGCCUGAUCCAGCCAUGCCGCGUGCGGGAAGAAGGCCU
RNAcentral lists this ribosomal RNA (390 nucleotides) under uncultured bacterium. Its description in RNAcentral is "bacterial SSU rRNA". It matches the Rfam family "Bacterial small subunit ribosomal RNA", at positions 29 to 417 of the family's 1533-position model. The record is from RNAcentral.